This 445-nucleotide ribosomal RNA is filed under the name uncultured bacterium. RNAcentral's name for it is "partial 16S ribosomal RNA". It matches the Rfam family "Bacterial small subunit ribosomal RNA", at positions 354 to 796 of the family's 1533-position model. The record is from RNAcentral.
GUGAGGAAUAUUGGACAAUGGGCGCAAGCCUGAUCCAGCCAUGCCGCGUGCAGGAAGACGCAUCUAUGGUGUGUAAACUGCUUUUGUGCGGGAAGAAACACUCCCUCGUGAGGGAGCUUGACGGUACCGUAAGAAUAAGGAUCGGCUAACUCCGUGCCAGCAGCCGCGGUAAUACGGAGGAUCCAAGCGUUAUCCGGAAUCAUUGGGUUUAAAGGGUCCGUAGGCGGUUUAAUAAGUCAGUGGUGAAAGCCCAUCGCUCAACGAUGGAACGGCCAUUGAUACUGUUAGACUUGAAUUACAAGGAAGUAACUAGAAUAUGUAGUGUAGCGGUGAAAUGCUUAGAUAUUACAUGGAAUACCAAUUGCGAAGGCAGGUUACUACUUGUGGAUUGACGCUGAUGGACGAAAGCGUGGGGAGCGAACAGGAUUAGAAACCCCGGUAGUCC